RNAcentral lists this ribosomal RNA (321 nucleotides) under Escherichia coli. RNAcentral's name for it is "partial 23S ribosomal RNA". It matches the Rfam family "Bacterial large subunit ribosomal RNA", at positions 1567 to 1869 of the family's 2925-position model. The record is from RNAcentral. Lineage: Bacteria; Pseudomonadati; Pseudomonadota; Gammaproteobacteria; Enterobacterales; Enterobacteriaceae.
UGACGAGGCACUACGGUGCUGAAGCAACAAAUGCCCUGCUUCCAGGAAAAGCCUCUAAGCAUCAGGUAACAUCAAAUCGUACCCCAAACCGACACAGGUGGUCAGGUAGAGAAUACCAAGGCGCUUGAGAGAACUCGGGUGAAGGAACUAGGCAAAAUGGUGCCGUAACUUCGGGAGAAGGCACGCUGAUAUGUAGGUGAAGUCCCUCGCGGAUGGAGCUGAAAUCAGUCGAAGAUACCAGCUGGCUGCAACUGUUUAUUAAAAACACAGCACUGUGCAAACACGAAAGUGGACGUAUACGGUGUGACGCCUGCCCGGUGC